This 453-nucleotide ribosomal RNA is filed under the name uncultured bacterium. RNAcentral's name for it is "partial 16S ribosomal RNA". It matches the Rfam family "Bacterial small subunit ribosomal RNA", at positions 28 to 507 of the family's 1533-position model. The record is from RNAcentral.
GAUGAACGCUGACAGAAUGCUUAACACAUGCAAGUCAACUUGAACUUCGGUUUGGGUGGCGGACGGGUGAGUAACGCGUAAAGAACUUGCCUCACAGAUAGGGACAACAUUUGGAAACGAAUGCUAAUACCUGAUAUUAUGAUUUUAGGGCAUCCUAGGAUUAUGAAAGCUAUAUGCGCUGUGAGAGAGCUUUGCGUCCCAUUAGCUAGUUGGAGAGGUAACGGCUCACCAAGGCGAUGAUGGUAGCCGGCCUGAGAGGGUGAUCGGCCACAAGGGGACUGAGACACGGCCCUUACUCCUACGGGAGGCAGCAGUGGGGAAUAUUGGACAAUGGACCAAGAGUCUGAUCCAGCAAUUCUGUGUGCACGAUGAAGUUUUUCGGAAUGUAAAGUGCUUUCAGUUGGGAAGAAAAAAAUGACGGUACCAACAGAAGAAGUGACGGCUAAAUACGUG